Molecule: ribosomal RNA, 1199 nt
Filed under: uncultured marine diplonemid
Lineage: Eukaryota; Euglenozoa; Diplonemea
Description: SSU rRNA
Rfam family: Eukaryotic small subunit ribosomal RNA
Source: RNAcentral
GCACCCGCGGUAAUUCCAGCACCAAUAGCGUAUAUUAAUGCUGCUGCUGUUAAAAAGCUCGUAGUUGGAUCAAGAGUUCGACAGUGCAAGGUGGCCCCGCUUGUUACGAUGGCUCCGGUCACCGUAACGGCGGCGGAUCAACCCCUUGCACCAAACUGUCGUCUCUAACAGACCGAAACGGUUCCCUGUGAGUAGGUUCCUUCACUGGGGCUGAAAGCGCCUACGCAUCAACCAUAUGCUUACGGGACGUCGGUCAAAGUUACUGUGAACAAACCAGCGUGUCCAAAACAGGCUUUCGCCUGAAUGUUCGAGCAUGGAAUAACAAGGGAUCGAUUCUCUCGGUUCUUUUUGUUGGUUUUUAACCCGAGAAGGAGUAAUUCAGGCCACGGUGUCUGGGCUGGGUUCCCCUAGUCUCCGGAUUAGGCCCCAGUUAGGCCGUGUCCUUACGGGAUCAAUAGGGACUGACGGGGUCGUACGUACUUCCACGUCAGAGGUGAAAUUCUUAGAUCGUGGGAAGACGAACUUCUGCGAAAGCAUUCGACAAGAAUGUCUUCAUUAAUCAAGAACGAGAGUGUGGGGAUCGAAGAUGAUCAGAUACCGUCGUAGUCCACUACUGUAAACAAUGCCGUCUCAGGAUUGAGAAGUGAACCUAAUGACUUUCACAGCACUAACCCCUGAAACGAGAAAUCAAAGAUUAUGGGUUCAGGGGGGAGUACAUUCGCAAGGCUGAAACUUAAAGGAAUUGACGGAAUGACACCACAAGGCGUGGAGUAUGCGGCUUAAUUUGACUCAACACGGGGAAUUUUACUAGGUCAGGACAAUGUAAGGAUUGACAGAUUGAGAGCUCUUUCUCGAUCCAUUGUGUGGUGGUGCAUGGCCGCUCCUGGUUGGUGGAGUGAUUUGUCUGGUUGAUUCCGUUAACGAACGAGAUCUCGACCCUUAAAUAGGUGCCCGUGUCGGUUGUAGUUUCGCCUCCGCCUGCUUGCAGGAUUGGAGCGGGACGAGACUGCGGGAAUACUUCUUAAGGGGACUGUGUGCGUCUCUAGCACGCGGAAGAGCGAGCCAAUAGCAGGUCUGUGAUGCUCCUAAAUGUCCUAGGCUGCACGCGCACUACACUGAUGCAAUAAACGAGUCUGAGUGCCUUCUGGCAACCUACCUGGAAGCGGGUGGGAAAUCUUUUGAACUUGCAUCGUGAUGAG